Molecule: ribosomal RNA, 377 nt
Filed under: uncultured eukaryote
Lineage: Eukaryota
Description: partial 18S ribosomal RNA
Rfam family: Eukaryotic small subunit ribosomal RNA
Source: RNAcentral
CAAUAGCGUAUAUUUAAGUUGCUGCAGUUAAAAAGCUCGUAGUUGGAUUUCGGGUGGGAAUGGCCGGUCCGCCGUUUCGGUGUGCACUUGCUACGCCCACCUUGCUGCCGGGGACGUGCUCUUGAGUUCACGCUCGGGACACGGAGUCGGCGAGGUUACUUUGAGUAAAUUAGAGUGUUCAAAGCAGGCCUACGCUCUGAAUACAUCAGCAUGGAAUAACACGAUAGGACUCUGGCCUAUCUUGUUGGUCUGUAGGACCGGAGUAAUGAUUAAGAGGGACAGUCGGGGGCAUUCGUAUUUCAUUGUCAGAGGUGAAAUUCUUGGAUUUAUGAAAGACGAACUACUGCGAAAGCAUUUGCCAAGGAUGUUUUCAUUAA